This 912-nucleotide ribosomal RNA is filed under the name uncultured Flavobacteriaceae bacterium. Its description in RNAcentral is "bacterial SSU rRNA". It matches the Rfam family "Bacterial small subunit ribosomal RNA", at positions 55 to 973 of the family's 1533-position model. The record is from RNAcentral. Lineage: Bacteria; Pseudomonadati; Bacteroidota; Flavobacteriia; Flavobacteriales; Flavobacteriaceae.
AUGCAAGUCGAGGGGUAUUGGUUUUCGGACCAAGAGACCGGCGCACGGGUGCGUAACGCGUAUGCAAUCUACCUUUUGCAGAGGGAUAGCCCAGAGAAAUUUGGAUUAAUACCUCAUAGUAUAGCAGUUUCGCAUGAAACCACUAUUAAAGUCACAACGGCAAAAGAUGAGCAUGCGUCCCAUUAGCUAGUUGGUAAGGUAACGGCUUACCAAGGCUACGAUGGGUAGGGGUCCUGAGAGGGAGAUCCCCCACACUGGUACUGAGACACGGACCAGACUCCUACGGGAGGCAGCAGUGAGGAAUAUUGGACAAUGGGCGCAAGCCUGAUCCAGCCAUGCCGCGUGCAGGAUGACGGUCCUAUGGAUUGUAAACUGCUUUUGUACAGGAAGAAACACUCCCUCGUGAGGGAGCUUGACGGUACUGUAAGAAUAAGGAUCGGCUAACUCCGUGCCAGCAGCCGCGGUAAUACGGAGGAUCCAAGCGUUAUCCGGAAUCAUUGGGUUUAAAGGGUCCGUAGGCGGUUUAGUAAGUCAGUGGUGAAAGCCCAUCGCUCAACGGUGGAACGGCCAUUGAUACUGCUAGACUUGAAUUAUUAGGAAGUAACUAGAAUAUGUAGUGUAGCGGUGAAAUGCUUAGAGAUUACAUGGAAUACCAAUUGCGAAGGCAGGUUACUACUAAUGGAUUGACGCUGAUGGACGAAAGCGUGGGUAGCGAACAGGAUUAGAUACCCUGGUAGUCCACGCCGUAAACGAUGGAUACUAGCUGUUGGGAGCAAUCUCAGUGGCUAAGCGAAAGUGAUAAGUAUCCCACCUGGAGAGUACGUUCGCAAGAAUGAAACUCAAAGGAAUUGACGGGGGCCCGCACAAGCGGUGGAGCAUGUGGUUUAAUUCGAUGAUACGCGAGGAACCUUA